GAUGAACGCUGGCGGCGUGCCUAAUACAUGCAAGUCGAGCGAACGGACGAGAAGCUUGCUUCUCUGAUGUUAGCGGCGGACGGGUGAGUAACACGUGGAUAACCUAUCUAUAAGACUGGGAUAACUUCGGGAAACCGGAGCUAAUACCGGAUAAUAUUUUGAACCGCAUGGUUCAAAAGUGAAAGACGGUCUUGCUGUCACUUAUAGAUGGAUCCGCGCUGCAUUAGCUAGUUGGUAAGGUAACGGCUUACCAAGGCAACGAUGCAUAGCCGACCUGAGAGGGUGAUCGGCCACACUGGACCUGAGACACGGUCCAGACUCCUACGGGAGGCAGCAGUAGGGAAUCUUCCGCAAUGGGCGAAAGCCUGACGGAGCAACGCCGCGUGAGUGAUGAAGGUCUUCGGAUCGUAAAACUCUGUUAUUAGGGAAGAACAUAUGUGUAAGUAACUGUGCACAUCUGGACGGUACCUAAUCAGAAAGCCACGGCUAACUCCGU
This 496-nucleotide ribosomal RNA is filed under the name uncultured bacterium. Its description in RNAcentral is "partial 16S ribosomal RNA". It matches the Rfam family "Bacterial small subunit ribosomal RNA", at positions 28 to 506 of the family's 1533-position model. The record is from RNAcentral.